GGUCCAGACUCCUACGGGAGGCAGCAGUGGGGAAUAUUGCACAAUGGGGGGAACCCUGAUGCAGCGACGCCGCGUGAGUGAAGAAGUAUUUCGGUAUGUAAAGCUCUAUCAGCAGGGAAGAAAAUGACGGUACCUGACUAAGAAGCCCCGGCUAACUACGUGCCAGCAGCCGCGGUAAUACGUAGGGGGCAAGCGUUAUCCGGAUUUACUGGGUGUAAAGGGAGCGUAGACGGUUAUGCAAGUCUGAAGUGAAAGCCCGAGGCUCAACCAUGGGACUGCUUUGGAAACUGUAAAACUGGAGUGCAGGAGAGGUAAGCGGAAUUCCUAGUGUAGCGGUGAAAUGCGUAGAUAUCAGGAGGAACACCGGCGGCGAAGGCGGCCUGCUGGACCGUGACUGACGUUGAGGCUCGAGAGCGUGGGGAGCAAACAGGAUUAGAUACCCCUGUA
RNAcentral lists this ribosomal RNA (447 nucleotides) under uncultured bacterium. RNAcentral describes it as "partial 16S ribosomal RNA". It matches the Rfam family "Bacterial small subunit ribosomal RNA", at positions 328 to 792 of the family's 1533-position model. The record is from RNAcentral.